This is an RNA transcript of Pyrus x bretschneideri (Chinese white pear), 2465 nucleotides long. RefSeq lists it as uncharacterized. The transcript has 3 exons. NCBI's taxonomy places the organism in Eukaryota, Viridiplantae, Streptophyta, Magnoliopsida, Rosales, Rosaceae. The record is from RefSeq and is a predicted model, not a curated record.
AUUAACCUUUUCUAUUUUGCUAUUUUCUCAUUUUAUAAGCCCGGUAUGAUCGUGAACGACGGCGAGGGCGCCACCCUCGUGACCACAAGGAAGUGAAGGACGAGGAAGAGUUCGAAAAGCUCGGGUCGAUCCUGACCGGUCUUCCACCGAUAACCAGAGUUGCAGAUGGUUCUGACCAUCAUUAGAGAUGGCUUGAAGAUCGACUGCAAGAGUUGGACAUAGGAACAUCAUGAAGGACAAAGAGCAGAACCCAGCAGGGCUUGCUCAACUCAUAAUUGUGGGUCAGCAAGGUGAUCGGGCAGAGCCCGCUAAGGAAAGUUCUACACUGCCGGUGUUUGUGAAUUCCGAACCGAAAGUUAGGGGCUCUCUCUUGUUGUUUACAGACGGUCUUUUCUCGAGAAGAAGCCUCUCACAAAAGAAGAGAUUGAUGAAGCGUUUCAGAGUGUGCCUGUAAGUAAAUUGAUUAUUGGUGGUCAAGCCGAUUGUUAAUUUAAUUGUCAAUGUUUUCGUGUUGACAUUGUUUGUUUGCAAAUUGCAUCGUGUGGAGUUUCAUGUUCAGGUGCACAGUUGUGUAUAUCAUUGAGCCAUUUAGGCAAUUCAUUAGGUUUAAGAGAGAAAUCGAUCUCUUGGAGUCGAAAUGUGAAAACCCAUUUUAUACAUUUUUGUAGAACAUGUUGGUUGACUAAAGAGUCACCAACCAUUCAUGUGGGUAUGAAAUUUUGAUUAGGUUGAAGAUCUUUUACACCGCCUCAUAUUAAUAGGGAACAAAAUAUCGGUAGACAUUGAAAGUUAAUCAGUUUUUUUUUUUUAAUGUCAAGUUCUUUGUCUUUGUUCAUAUUUCAUCUUGAAUAUGCAAACUCUCUUAUAUCUUCCUUUUUCCUAUAUAGCAUGUGUAUUGAUACAUUGAUGAGCUUGUUCUUAUAUCGUUAGGUGUUUGAAAGGUUCACUAAACCAUUGUGCAUUCUACUUGAAAAUUACGAUGGCGUAAAUUUGUUAUUGGUGGAAAAUUUUGGAGAAAUUUAUGUCUAGUUCCUGAAGUUUUCUUGUACUUGAUUUUUGAGCCUGUGAGCGACCCCUAGUUUAGUUUGCAAAGGUGAAUCAAGAAAUAGACAAAAUCCGUUGUCUAUUUUCUAAUUCUAAACAUGGGCACUAGUACAAACCCCCCAUGUAGUAACCUACCAAAAAGUAUUUUCUCUUCAUCCACAUAAAAUAAAUAUUGAAAUUAUUCUGAUUCUUGAAUUUCCUGUGCUUCUGCGUACAUUUAUGCACAUAAUGGAUCUUUAAUCUAGUACACGAAAUCAUGUCAACCAAGGGGGCAUUGAUAUGAAAAUUGAACCAAAAUUGUGAAACUGAGCUAAAAUAACCCACACUAUUUUUAGAACUACAACAAAAUUACACACUAUUUCAAAAAACUGAACCAAAAUAACUCACAAUAUUUCUGGAAUAGAACAAAAAAACAUUGUUUCUGGAACUACAACAAAAUAACCACACUAUUUAUGAAUCUGAACCAAAAUAAUCUACACUAUUUUUGUAACUACUGUAAAAUAACCACACUGUAAAAUAGUAGCCUAGUUCUUAGUCCACUUUCAUAAAUAGUGGCCUAGUUCUUGUUCCACUUUCAUGAAUAGUGGCCUAGUUCUUGGUCCAGUUUCAUAAAUAAUGCCUAGUUCUUUGUCAAGUUUCAUAAAUAGUGUAUAAUAAUUGGUACAGUUUCAUAAAUAGUCUCUUUCUUGGUCUAGUUCCAUAAAUAACGUUUAUUUCUUGGUCUAGUUUCAUAAAGAGUUUCCACUUAUUGGUUUAGUUUUAGAAAUAGUGUCUCGUCCUUGAUUUGGUUUCAUAAAUAGUGCCUCCUUAUUGGUCCAGUUUCAUAAAUAGUGCCUAAUUCUUGGUUCACUUUCAUAAAUAGUGCCCUGGUUCUUGGUCCAGUUCAUAAAUAGUGCUUAGUUUUUGGUCCACUUUCAUAAAUAGUGGCUAGUUCUUGAUCCAGUUUCUUAAAUAGUGUCUAGUUCUUGGUCCAGUUUCAUAAAUAGUGUCUCUUUUUGGGACAAUAAGUAGACACUAUUUAUGAAACUAGACCCAAAAAGAGACACUAUUUAUGAAACUGGACCAAGAACUAGACACUAUUUAAGAAACUGGAUCAAGAACUAGCCACUAUUUAUGAAAGUGGACCAAAAACUAAGCACUAUUAGUUGAAAGCAUCUAGACAUCCUAGUAGUAUGCAUAUAUCCCGGAUUUAACUAAUUCGUCCUUUUAAAUAUGGCUAAAAUAACAAAGACUUGUAACUCAAUUAGUUGAAAGCAUUCACAUUUACUCUUAGAAACUCGAGCUCCUCCCUCAUUAUCUAUAGUAGAAGACAGAAAAAAGGAUAUGGUGAAUGGUGAAAACUAUAAUUCAUACAUGAUUGUGUUUACUAUUUGUUAUAAUUAUACACCAGGUUUAUGUCCUUGUAAAUGUAAGGGUGGUUU